This 492-nucleotide ribosomal RNA is filed under the name uncultured bacterium. RNAcentral describes it as "partial 16S ribosomal RNA". It matches the Rfam family "Bacterial small subunit ribosomal RNA", at positions 29 to 507 of the family's 1533-position model. The record is from RNAcentral.
AGUGAACGCUGGCGGUAGGCCUAACACAUGCAAGUCGAACGGCAGCACAGUAAGAGCUUGCUCUUACGGGUGGCGAGUGGCGGACGGGUGAGGAAUACAUCGGAAUCUACUUUUUCGUGGGGGAUAACGUAGGGAAACUUACGCUAAUACCGCAUACGACCUACGGGUGAAAGCAGGGGAUCUUCGGACCUUGCGCGAUUGAAUGAGCCGAUGUCGGAUUAGCUAGUUGGCGGGGUAAAGGCCCACCAAGGCGACGAUCCGUAGCUGGUCUGAGAGGAUGAUCAGCCACACUGGAACUGAGACACGGUCCAGCCUCCUACGGGAGGCAGCAGUGGGGAAUAUUGGACCAUGGGCGCAAGCCUGAUCCAGCCAUACCGCGUGGGUGAAGAAGGCCUUCGGGUUGUAAAGCCCUUUUGUUGGGAAAGAAAAGCAGCAGGUUAAUACCCCGCUGUUCUGACGGUACCCAAAGAAUAAGCACCGGCUAACUUCGUG